Molecule: ribosomal RNA, 257 nt
Filed under: Salmonella enterica
Lineage: Bacteria; Pseudomonadati; Pseudomonadota; Gammaproteobacteria; Enterobacterales; Enterobacteriaceae
Description: partial 23S ribosomal RNA
Rfam family: Bacterial large subunit ribosomal RNA
Source: RNAcentral
GUGUGUUCCAGGUAAAUCCGGUUCACUUUAACACUGAGGCGUGACGACGAGGCACUACGGUGCUGAAGCAACAAAUGCCCUGCUUCCAGGAAAAGCCUCUAAGCAUCAGGUAACAUCAAAUCGUACCCCAAACCGACACAGGUGGUCAGGUAGAGAAUACCAAGGCGCUUGAGAGAACUCGGGUGAAGGAACUAGGCAAAAUGGUGCCGUAACUUCGGGAGAAGGCACGCUGACACGUAGGUGAAGUGAUUUACUCA